CUUUAUUUUUAUUAUUAUUUCUCAAUAGCCUUGAGGGGCCCUCACAGGGAAGUUUCCAGUUCUUUCUCUCUAUGAUGACAGCAGUGCACUUGGCUGGCUCUGCUCAGACAGCUCUCAUGCAUCCAAGCCUGUCCUGCCCUCCCUGUCCUAUUCCCUAUCAAUGCUACUUGAGGCUGUGCUUGUUGUUUCAGGAUCACAGCAUUUGUGCUCAUGCUGCCCUGAGCUUUCAUAAAAUACCUGAAGUCUGGAUUUUGAUAGCGUUUGGUUACAUCACUUCAUAAUCUUGGUGCUGGUGUUCUGAUGUCUGCCUUUAUCGUUCCGUUUUUAGCUCUUGUGGCCUUGAGGAAUUCUCAGCUGUAUGAUGGAUCUGGGGAAGCUGUCUGGACUGAAGACUUUGCCUGUUUAAAAUGUUUUGGAAUCCAUCCACUUUGGCUUUUCUCUGGAUUUUUCAUGGCAUUGAAAAAUGCAGUUGGACAUUUAUCCCACUUAUUGGAGCCCUCAAUUUUAUUUCCAUCUGGAAUCACACACCAAUACUUGUGGGGCAAUUAA
RNAcentral lists this long non-coding RNA (549 nucleotides) under Coturnix japonica (Japanese quail). RNAcentral's name for it is "lncRNA (ENSCJPG00005004809.1)". The record is from RNAcentral. Lineage: Eukaryota; Metazoa; Chordata; Aves; Galliformes; Phasianidae.